This 370-nucleotide unclassified non-coding RNA is filed under the name uncultured fungus. RNAcentral's name for it is "partial contains small subunit ribosomal RNA, internal transcribed spacer 1, and 5.8S ribosomal RNA". The stretch from base 1 to 73 matches the Rfam family "Eukaryotic small subunit ribosomal RNA", at positions 1759 to 1831 of the family's 1831-position model. The record is from RNAcentral. Lineage: Eukaryota; Fungi.
ACAAACUUGGUCAUUUAGAGGAAGUAAAAGUCGUAACAAGGUUUCCGUAGGUGAACCUGCGGAAGGAUCAUUACAGAAAUAAACUUGAUGGAUUGCUGCUGGCUCAAAAAAGAGUAAUUGUGCACAUCUGUCAUUUUUAUCUUUCCACCAUGUGCAUUUUGUAUAGCGGUCGAUGAUAAUUCAUCAUCAUCUUUUGGGAAUUGCAACUCACACUUGCUUUCUCCCUAUAAUAUAUGACCCUGUACGUUUUUAUCUAUAUACACCAUGUAUGUUAAAGAACGUUAAUCAAAAGGCUUUUGUUGCCUUAUAAAACAUAAAUACAACUUUCAGCAAUGGAUCUCUUGGCUCUCGCAUCGAUGAAGAACGCAGC